This 490-nucleotide ribosomal RNA is filed under the name uncultured bacterium. RNAcentral describes it as "partial 16S ribosomal RNA". It matches the Rfam family "Bacterial small subunit ribosomal RNA", at positions 28 to 507 of the family's 1533-position model. The record is from RNAcentral.
GAUGAACGCUAGCUACAGGCUUAACACAUGCAAGUCGCGGGGCAGCAUGGGGGUUGCUUGCAAUCCCCGAUGGCGACCGGCGCACGGGUGAGUAACGCGUAUUCAACCUGCCCUUCACCACGGGAUAACCCGGCGAAAGUCGGACUAAUACCGUAUGUUGUCCAUUGACGGCAUCCGAUCUGGACGAAAGGCUUGGCGGUGAGGGAUGGGGAUGCGUCCGAUUAGCCAGACGGCGGGGUAACGGCCCACCGUGGCUACGAUCGGUAGGGGUUCUGAGAGGAAGGUCCCCCACACUGGAACUGAGACACGGUCCAGACUCCUACGGGAGGCAGCAGUGAGGAAUAUUGGUCAAUGGGCGUAAGCCUGAACCAGCCAAGUAGCGUGCAGGAUGACGGCCCUAUGGGUUGUAAACUGCUUUUAUGCGGGGAUAAAGUGGCCCACGUGUGGGCUUUUGCAGGUACCGCAUGAAUAAGGACCGGCUAAUUCCGUG